Rhineura floridana is the source of this 1947-nucleotide long non-coding RNA. RefSeq lists it as uncharacterized. Lineage: Eukaryota; Metazoa; Chordata; Lepidosauria; Squamata; Rhineuridae. The transcript is spliced from 3 exons. The record is from RefSeq and is a predicted model, not a curated record.
CAACACCAAGACUAAGCAGGAGCAGGAAGCCCCCCCCCCUCGGACAGGUUGUAAGUAAGAAGACAGGCAAGUGAAGGCUGGCUGAGGUGCCCCACUUGCCUUAGUAGACCAGCCUCCACUAGAUAUUGCUCUUAAUCACAAUGGACUAUGACAGAAUUUCCCCCACCGCAGCAUUUUGCUGUAUUUAUAGAUUCCUGUGCUGAAGUUCUAAUUUGAAGCCUCUGUACGUAGCCAGAAAAAAGUCUCAAGAUUUAUUACCAGCCAGGUCGCUAUAUCUCCAAUGUCCUAUGAGCCAAUCCGCACGAAAGAGGAGCGUGUUAACCACUGAGAACAGUGUUCUCACUUGACUCCUUGCAUUUUCAUGCUGGAGGCAACCAAAGCAGAAGGGGGUGAGUAAGCCACAGAGAAGACCACACACCUUUCCUUUGGCUCCUAGAGAACAUCUGUUGUGAAAGAAUGAAGGUGCAAGAGAUGAGCGAGCAGAAAGAUGAAGGAAAGUGGGAAAGGAGGACUGCUGGACUGCUUACAUCAAGCAUAAGUUGCCCAACCUCACCUCAGACCUCAAAAGGAGACAAUGGGAGUUAGCCUACCAACACAUUCUAAAGUCCAGUUCCGCACCAGACAUCAUCCCCGCUAAUCCUCUCCUUGCCACUUUCCCACCCCCACCCCUCUAUAUGUUACCUCACAGGCCUUUCAUUGCAUCUUUGCCUAUGUGUAUCUGCAAAUAUUGUAGUUUACCAUUUAUUUUUUCAUUACCAUUUCUAUAUAAUGUAAUACGCUUUUUUCUCUUUAUUUUUUAUGGUAUGGGGCCUCUGAAUCUUGACAUGGCUUGAGGCCUCAGCAUGUCUUAAUCCAGCCCCGAUUCUGAGGGAGGAAAAGGUGAAGACAUAGGGUUGUAUCCAAUAAGGUUCUACUCAGAGUCGACCCAUAGAAAUUAAUGGACCUACAUAAGUCAUGUCCAUUAAUUUCAGUGGGUCUACUCUGAGUAUGUCUUAAUACUAGAUACAACCCUUAUAAAAAAAUCAAAUCUGUGUAUGGUUUAAGACCUUUUUUUAUUCAUUUUCAUAAAAGAGCGAACAAUUUUGGUGCAUUUCAGGUUCACCUGCCAUUCAGUUAUUUCCUGGGCAGCAUCCAGAUGACAUAUGACUGGCAUACUUCCUACCCUGCUGCUUGUGUGGUUUAGUGAAAAAAUAGAGAUGCAUUUGUAUGCAGUCUCAUACAAAAGAGAUACAAGUUCAGUGAGAUUUUGCAUUACAGUUUCACCAUUUGGACUGUAUCUCAACCCAUGCUGAUUUUUUCCCAGCUGAAAACAUCCAUAGCCCAGUGGUGGGCCAGGCGACUUUGCAUGCCAAGAUCACCGAUUUAUUCAUUUAGUUUAAGCAUUUUACUCUAGUCUUCAGCCAAAAUGACACAGAGCAGCUUCAGUAAGAUUAGUAACAAAUAAUACAGCCCCUGCCCCACAGGCUUUGACUCCAAAUGCCAUGGCAUAAAAGGAAAGAUGGGAUGAGGAGGAAAAGAGAACAAGCAAACUCAGGCACUGGUUCUUGAAAAUUACAAAGUUCAUAUAAAUAACCAUCUUGAGUAGAAACAGUUCAGGGAGAAGAGGGAGGAGCCAAAUGGAACUGGUCUCUCAACAGAGGUGAUGGAGUGGGUCCUGCUUCUCAUCACCCUCUGCUCAGUCUCUGGCACAUCCAGCCCCCAAAGGAACACAGAUAACAGGAGUGGCCAGACCAUGAAGAGCAGCUGCUAGUCAGAGCAGACAGUACAGUACUCAGUGGACCAAUGGACUUACUCAUCUUCUUUGACCUGUUGUACUAAGAACUCUGCUUUGUGUCUGUAAUAUAUAGAACACUAUGCUACAAUAUCUGUCUUAAAAUAAUAUGUAUUAUUUCUAUUCAGAAACUGGAGAGGGGGACGAUGCCUUCAUAUGAAAUAAAACAUCUUUUU